Long non-coding RNA from Dermatophagoides pteronyssinus (European house dust mite), 183 nucleotides. NCBI's taxonomy places the organism in Eukaryota, Metazoa, Arthropoda, Arachnida, Sarcoptiformes, Pyroglyphidae. The record is from RefSeq and is a predicted model, not a curated record.
AUGGCCAAUGAAUAUGAAACAAACAAAAAAAAUUGGCAACUUUCUUGAAAAGUAAUCACCAAAGAUGACCUUUUUUUCUUCUUGCUUUGUCUUUUGAUUUAGUUCAAGAAUAUCAAGAAUUUCGGGCUAUCAAUAAUCUCCAUUCUUCAAUUCAGUGUAUACCCGGCAUCAGCCAGGUACCGG